This 301-nucleotide ribosomal RNA is filed under the name uncultured bacterium. Its description in RNAcentral is "partial 16S ribosomal RNA". It matches the Rfam family "Bacterial small subunit ribosomal RNA", at positions 509 to 807 of the family's 1533-position model. The record is from RNAcentral.
CAGCCGCCACGGUAAUACGUAGGUGGCAAGCGUUGUCCGGAAUUAUUGGGCGUAAAGGGCUCGCAGGCGGUUUCUUAAGUCUGAUGUGAAAGCCCCCGGCUCAACCGGGGAGGGUCAUUGGAAACUGGGAAACUUGAGUGCAGAAGAGGAGAGUGGAAUUCCAUGUGUAGCGGUGAAAUGCGCAGAGAUAUGGAGGAACACCAGUGGCGAAGGCGACUUUCUGGUCUGUAACUGACGCUGAUGUGCGAAAGCGUGGGGAUCAAACAGGAUUAGAUACCCCAGUAGUCCCUGUCUCUUAUAC